AGUGAACGCUGGCGGCAGGCCUAACACAUGCAAGUCGAACGACCACAUAGUAAGCUCUCGCUUCUAACGUUAGCGACUGACGGAUGGGUAAGGCGUACAUAGCCUACCUAUAUUACUUGGAGGACUUCGUAAAACCACAUCUGCUACCACAGCAUAUGUUCAACGGGUGUAAGCAGUAGUUCAACGCAGCUUUCCUGUCUCUUUUAGCUGAUGCCGCAUUAGCUAGUUGGCUAGGUAAAGGCACACCAAGGCAACGAUCCGUAGCUGAGCUGAGAGGAUGAUCGGCCACACUGGAACUGAGACACGGUCCAGACUCCUACGGGAGGCAGCAGUGGGGAAUAUUGGACAAUGGGCGCAAGCCUGACCCAGCCAUGCCGCGUGAGUGAAGAAGGCCUUCGGGUUGUAAAGCCCUUUUGUUGGGGAAGAAAAGCAGCAGAUGAAAACCCCGCUGUUCUGACGGUACCCAAAGAAAAAGCACCGGCUAACUUCGUG
Molecule: ribosomal RNA, 492 nt
Filed under: uncultured bacterium
Lineage: Bacteria
Description: partial 16S ribosomal RNA
Rfam family: Bacterial small subunit ribosomal RNA
Source: RNAcentral